CGGGAAACCGGAGACUAAUACCGGAUAAUAUUUCGAACCGCAUGGUUCGAUAGUGAAAGAUGGUUUUGCUAUCACUUAUAGAUGGACCCGCGCCGUAUUAGCUAGUUGGUAAGGUAACGGCUUACCAAGGCGACGAUACGUAGCCGACCUGAGAGGGUGAUCGGCCACACUGGAACUGAGACACGGUCCAGACUCCUACGGGAGGCAGCAGGC
Molecule: ribosomal RNA, 213 nt
Filed under: uncultured Staphylococcus sp.
Lineage: Bacteria; Bacillati; Bacillota; Bacilli; Caryophanales; Staphylococcaceae
Description: partial 16S ribosomal RNA
Rfam family: Bacterial small subunit ribosomal RNA
Source: RNAcentral